AAUUGGAAUGAUGGGAAUUUAAACCUCUUCCAGAGUAUCAAUUGGAGGGCAAGUCUGGUGCCAGCAGCCGCGGUAAUUCCAGCUCCAAUAGCGUAUAUUAAAAUUGUUGCAGUUAAAAAGCUCGUAGUUGAAUUUCUGCUGCAUCGUCGCAUCUCUUGCUGAGUGCUUCGUUUCGGCUUAUUUCGGAUUGAUUUUUUCUUUCCGGAUGAUUACUUUGAGAAAAUUAGAGUGCUCAAAGCAGGCUUUUGCCUUGAAUAGUUUAGCAUGGAAUAAUAAAGUAGGACUUUGGUUCUAUUUUGUUGGUUUUAGGUACCAAAGUAAUGGUUAAUAGGAACAGUUGGGGGCAUUCGUAUUUAACUGUCAGAGGUGAAAUUCUUAGAUUUGUUAAAGACGAACUACUGCGAAAGCAUUUGCCAAGGAUGUUUUCAUUAAUCAAGAACGAAAGUUAGGGGAUCGAAGACGAUCMGAUACCGUCGUAGUCCUACCC
This 487-nucleotide ribosomal RNA is filed under the name Theileria sinensis. Its description in RNAcentral is "SSU rRNA". It matches the Rfam family "Eukaryotic small subunit ribosomal RNA", at positions 509 to 1042 of the family's 1831-position model. Lineage: Eukaryota; Apicomplexa; Aconoidasida; Piroplasmida; Theileriidae. The record is from RNAcentral.